GAACGCACAUUGCGCCCAGUGGUAUUCCACUGGGCAUGCCUGUUCGAGCGUCAUUUCAACCCUCAAAAGCUUGCUUUUGGUGUUGGAGGAAUACCUGUAAAAGGGUACCCUCUGAAAUUUAGUGGCGGGCUCGCUAGAAUUUUGAGCGUAGUAAUUUUACCUCGUUUUUAAAGACUAGUGGGACUUCUUGCCGUAAAACCCCCAACUUUCUGAAAUUUGACCUCGGAUCAGGUAGGAAUACCCGCUGAACUUAAG
Molecule: unclassified non-coding RNA, 255 nt
Filed under: Ophiognomonia pseudoischnostyla
Lineage: Eukaryota; Fungi; Ascomycota; Sordariomycetes; Diaporthales; Gnomoniaceae
Description: sequence contains 5.8S rRNA gene
Rfam family: 5.8S ribosomal RNA (bases 1-53)
Source: RNAcentral